CCGAGCUGCUCGAGGCGCAGUUCAGGUUCUCCAACCCCCGUCCCAGAGGCCGGUCCCGCGGUGUCGGAGCUGCGGCCUGGUAUUGCCGGGUCCGCAGGCCCCAGGCCUGGGCUCUGGGUACAGGCGCCGGUUUGUGAGAGAGACCCCGAGGCUCCGGGGAUCGUCCCACCGCAGAUUUAAACCCCUGAAGUCGGCUCAUCCUGAGCCCCGGACUCGAGCCGACAACUUUAAUAAAGGAGGCGGCCGGACGGAGGACAUUCGGCCCGUCAGGCGGUGUCUGACCCCCAGCGGGAGCCCCACAGGCCCGGAGCGGUCUGCGAUGCCCAUCUUACCAGUGAACCAGCCUCAGCUGAUCCGCUCCAAUCAGAAGGAUGAGUACUACCUGAACUCACUGCGCAGCUAUGCCAACGAGGCUUUCCAGAUCUUUGCUGGUGCUAAGCAAUGGCUGGAAUGGAGGAAGGAGAUCGAGUUAUUGGCAGACCUGACAUACUUUUCUCUAACAACCUUUGCAGGUUACCAGACACUGGGUGAAGAGUAUGUUAACAUUGUCCAGGUGGACUCCAGUGGGCAGCGGGUGCCAUCCCCAGCCAGACGAGCAGCCCUCAUCAUCCUUCACACUUGCGUUCCUUACCUGCUGGACCGAGGACUGAACCGCCUGGAGCAGGACCUGCAGGUGGAGAAUGAGGGAUCCCAGGCACCAGAGCACAGACGGGCACCAGCAAGACCAGGGGUCUCCCAAUGGCUGCAGGGGGCUGUCAAUGCCCUGACCGAGCAGCAGAAGAAAGGCUUGCUGCAAACUGUCUAUAUCCUUCGACAGGCAGUCUCCUUCCUGCAUCGUCUGCACCUGGGCAUCUUCUACCUCAACGGAGCUUUCUACCACAUUGCCAAAAGAUUCACUAGCAUCACCUAUUUGUGUGUACGUGGUUUGUUCGGUGACAGUGUUGGACUCCGGUGGAGCUAUGAGUUGCUGGGGAAGGUUUCUCUGCUGCAGCUGGCCCUGACUGUCGCUAUGCAGGUCAACAGCUACCGACAAAGGCGGCGUGCCCGGCAAGAGUGGAAACUUCACCGCAACCUUCCAUGCUCAAGAAAUUCCUCUCAGGAUCUUUCAGUCCGCCGCUCCAGGUGUAUACUGUGUUUGGAAGAACGUAGGCAUUCAACAGCCACACCAUGUGGACACCUCUUCUGCUGGGAAUGCAUCACCGAAUGGUGCAAUACAAAGGUGAAACCACAGCAAACAACUUGCAGUUAUAUAGCACCCUUAAUGGAGUAAAAUAUCCAAAGGUGCUUCGCAGGAUCAUUACCAAAUAAGAUUUGAAACUGAGCCACAUGAAGGAGAUAUUAGCACAGCUGAACAAAAGCUUGGCAGAGUGUCCGCUUUGCCGGGAGAUGUUCCAGCCACACAGACUCAUCUACUUGCGUCAUUACAUUUAGGAUGAGAGAACUUGCAUUUCUAUAGCAUCUCUCGCAACCUCUGGAGAUCCCAAAGCACUUUACAACUAAUGAAAGUAUUUUUGAAAUGCAAUCACAGUGUAAAGUAGGAAAGAGGACCCGCGAUAAUCUCCUGACUGCACUUUCAUUUGGGUGGUACUGAUCCUCCACAGCAAUGUUGAUGAUCAUCUGGUGAUAGAAUGAAACAGCUGGGUCACCAGUGUGUCCACUCUAGGGAUUUGUCAAAUAGUAAAUUGGACUUGGACAAAUGGGCCUAAAGAUUACUGCUUUCAACAUUGCACAAGAACCCUGAAGUCCAGACUGUUGUUUGAUGCCUAGCUUUACGUUUCUCAAACGUUUUACGAGCAUUAGAGGAAUUGAAGUGCCAAGUUUUUGCUUUGCCACUGUUUUCUUUCCUAUCCUCGAGGACAUUAUUCCUGUGGUCCAAUUCCAUUGGCUGCAGCAACUCUCUAAUAGCUGACUUGUUCUCUGUACAUAUCAGGGGAUGAGAUCAUUUCAGCACCUCAGAAGAGUGCAGUGCUGUGUUCACUGGUGAGCACGCCGGAGUCCUGGCUGAUCAUCUCACCGGCCCUGGUGUGAAUGAGGGCAACGAUUGUUCAGGCUAGUACAACACACACACACCUGAGACCUUCCUGAUGCAUUUGGCUGAGUUGAGAAUCAUUAAACAUUUCCAACAUAUUUGCUCAUAAUUUGGGAAAAUGACUAUGCAAAUAAGUAAUUAGAAUUCAAUGGUCAGGCCAGUCACUUUAUUUAAUUCAUUUAAUAGUUUCAUUUUUGUUUUCCCAGAGGGAAGAGGGCUGAGAAACAGCAUUACAAAUUUAAUUAUUUUGUUCAGCUUUAUUACAAGUAAAAUAAAAGUAAUAACAUCUGUGAUGCAGAAUUGGGAGAUCUUAAAACCUAGCACAAGAAACAUGUUUCGUUAAAGAAAGGCAAUUAGAUGUGUAUGAAGUUGUAGAACGAUGGUGUUGCAGAGUGCAGCAAAUGUGUCAUUUGGACAAUGACUGGUGAUUUGGUUUCAUAUAAAAUUAUAUAAAUGCA
Molecule: RNA transcript, 2487 nt
Organism: Carcharodon carcharias (great white shark)
Lineage: Eukaryota; Metazoa; Chordata; Chondrichthyes; Lamniformes; Lamnidae
Gene: pex10
Gene name: peroxisomal biogenesis factor 10
Exons: 7
Source: RefSeq, a predicted model, not a curated record